AACGAACGCUGGCGGCAUGCCUAACACAUGCAAGUCGAACGAGACCUUCGGGUCUAGUUGCGCACGGGUGCUUGACGCGUGGGAACCUGCACUUAGGUUAGGAAUAACUCCCCGAAGGGGGUGCUAAUACCGGAUAAUGUCUUCGGGCCAAAGAUUUAUCGCCUUUGGGUGGGCGCGCGUUGGUUUGGGCGGUUGGUAGUGUAAAAGCCUACCAAGGCGUCGAUCCAGAGCUGGUGGGGGAGGAUGAUCCGCCAGGCUGGGCAUGCGACACGGCCUAGACUGGGAGGGGAGGGAGCAGUGGGGAAUAUUGGACAAUGGGCGAAAGCCUGACCCAGCAAUGCCGCGGGAGUGAGGAAGGCCGUAGGGUUGUAAAGCCCCUUUACACGGGAUGAUAAUGACAGUACCGGGAGAAGAAGCUCCGGCUAACUACGUG
Molecule: ribosomal RNA, 433 nt
Filed under: uncultured bacterium
Lineage: Bacteria
Description: partial 16S ribosomal RNA
Rfam family: Bacterial small subunit ribosomal RNA
Source: RNAcentral